RNAcentral lists this ribosomal RNA (2332 nucleotides) under Salmonella enterica. RNAcentral describes it as "partial 23S ribosomal RNA". It matches the Rfam family "Bacterial large subunit ribosomal RNA", at positions 614 to 2925 of the family's 2925-position model. The record is from RNAcentral. Lineage: Bacteria; Pseudomonadati; Pseudomonadota; Gammaproteobacteria; Enterobacterales; Enterobacteriaceae.
AAUGGGUCAGCGACUUAUAUUCUGUAGCAAGGUUAACCGUAUAGGGGAGCCGGAGGGAAACCGAGUCUUAACCGGGCGUUAAGUUGCAGGGUAUAGACCCGAAACCCGGUGAUCUAGCCAUGGGCAGGUUGAAGGUUGGGUAACACUAACUGGAGGACCGAACCGACUAAUGUUGAAAAAUUAGCGGAUGACCUGUGGCUGGGGGUGAAAGGCCAAUCAAACCGGGAGAUAGCUGGUUCUCCCCGAAAGCUAUUUAGGUAGCGCCUCGUGAAUUCAUCUCCGGGGGUAGAGCACUGUUUCGGCUAGGGGGCCAUCCCGGCUUACCAACCCGAUGCAAACUGCGAAUACCGGAGAAUGUUAUCACGGGAGACACACGGCGGGUGCUAACGUCCGUCGUGAAGAGGGAAACAACCCAGACCGCCAGCUAAGGUCCCAAAGUCAUGGUUAAGUGGGAAACGAUGUGGGAAGGCCCAGACAGCCAGGAUGUUGGCUUAGAAGCAGCCAUCAUUUAAAGAAAGCGUAAUAGCUCACUGGUCGAGUCGGCCUGCGCGGAAGAUGUAACGGGGCUAAACCAUGCACCGAAGCUGCGGCAGCGACACUGUGUGUUGUUGGGUAGGGGAGCGUUCUGUAAGCCUGUGAAGGUGUGCUGUGAGGCAUGCUGGAGGUAUCAGAAGUGCGAAUGCUGACAUAAGUAACGAUAAAGCGGGUGAAAAGCCCGCUCGCCGGAAGACCAAGGGUUCCUGUCCAACGUUAAUCGGGGCAGGGUGAGUCGACCCCUAAGGCGAGGCCGAAAGGCGUAGUCGAUGGGAAACGGGUUAAUAUUCCCGUACUUGGUGUUACUGCGAAGGGGGGACGGAGAAGGCUAUGUUGGCCGGGCGACGGUUGUCCCGGUUUAAGCGUGUAGGUGUGUGUUCCAGGUAAAUCCGGUUCACUUUAACACUGAGGCGUGAUGACGAGGCACUACGGUGCUGAAGCAACAAAUGCCCUGCUUCCAGGAAAAGCCUCUAAGCAUCAGGUAACAUCAAAUCGUACCCCAAACCGACACAGGUGGUCAGGUAGAGAAUACCAAGGCGCUUGAGAGAACUCGGGUGAAGGAACUAGGCAAAAUGGUGCCGUAACUUCGGGAGAAGGCACGCUGACACGUAGGUGAAGUGAUUUACUCACGGAGCUGAAGUCAGUCGAAGAUACCAGCUGGCUGCAACUGUUUAUUAAAAACACAGCACUGUGCAAACACGAAAGUGGACGUAUACGGUGUGACGCCUGCCCGGUGCCGGAAGGUUAAUUGAUGGGGUCAGCGCAAGCGAAGCUCCUGAUCGAAGCCCCGGUAAACGGCGGCCGUAACUAUAACGGUCCUAAGGUAGCGAAAUUCCUUGUCGGGUAAGUUCCGACCUGCACGAAUGGCGUAAUGAUGGCCAGGCUGUCUCCACCCGAGACUCAGUGAAAUUGAACUCGCUGUGAAGAUGCAGUGUACCCGCGGCAAGACGGAAAGACCCCGUGAACCUUUACUAUAGCUUGACACUGAACAUUGAGCCUUGAUGUGUAGGAUAGGUGGGAGGCUUUGAAGCGUGGACGCCAGUCUGCGUGGAGCCGACCUUGAAAUACCACCCUUUAAUGUUUGAUGUUCUAACGUGGACCCGUGAUCCGGGUUGCGGACAGUGUCUGGUGGGUAGUUUGACUGGGGCGGUCUCCUCCUAAAGAGUAACGGAGGAGCACGAAGGUUGGCUAAUCCUGGUCGGACAUCAGGAGGUUAGUGCAAUGGCAUAAGCCAGCUUGACUGCGAGCGUGACGGCGCGAGCAGGUGCGAAAGCAGGUCAUAGUGAUCCGGUGGUUCUGAAUGGAAGGGCCAUCGCUCAACGGAUAAAAGGUACUCCGGGGAUAACAGGCUGAUACCGCCCAAGAGUUCAUAUCGACGGCGGUGUUUGGCACCUCGAUGUCGGCUCAUCACAUCCUGGGGCUGAAGUAGGUCCCAAGGGUAUGGCUGUUCGCCAUUUAAAGUGGUACGCGAGCUGGGUUUAGAACGUCGUGAGACAGUUCGGUCCCUAUCUGCCGUGGGCGCUGGAGAACUGAGGGGGGCUGCUCCUAGUACGAGAGGACCGGAGUGGACGCAUCACUGGUGUUCGGGUUGUCAUGCCAAUGGCACUGCCCGGUAGCUAAAUGCGGAAGAGAUAAGUGCUGAAAGCAUCUAAGCACGAAACUUGCCCCGAGAUGAGUUCUCCCUGAGACUACGAGUCUCCUGAAGGAACGUUGAAGACGACGACGUUGAUAGGCCGGGUGUGUAAGCGCAGCGAUGCGUUGAGCUAACCGGUACUAAUGAACCGUGAGGCUUAACCUU